Molecule: long non-coding RNA, 262 nt
Filed under: Musa acuminata (dwarf banana)
Lineage: Eukaryota; Viridiplantae; Streptophyta; Magnoliopsida; Zingiberales; Musaceae
Description: long non-coding RNA (MACU_LNC003766)
Source: RNAcentral
ACGCCGCCGCCCUCGCCGUGGAUCGAUCCCGAGACGGUCUUGCCCGAGAUCCGGCCGAGAUCGCCGCCGCUGGAUGGGAGGAGCGGCCUAGAGGAGAGGAGGGGGAGGCGGCGGCGGCGAGCGAAGGGAUCGAGGACGCCAUCGAAGACCAGGCGUGGAGGCCACCAUGUCUGCGGUAGUCUGCGGGAAGAGGUCAUCUUCCAUCUUCGAGGAGCUCCUCCACAGCACCCCUCCGCCGGCCUCCAAGAGGGCCCGCUGCGCC